GGCACAGUGCCAGAGUGGUUAAUGGGUUAGACUCGAAUCUUCCAUUCGGUGUGAUCUAAUGGCUUCGGCCGCACAGGUUCGAGUCCUGUCUGUGUCG
This is a non-coding RNA of Phyllosticta capitalensis, 97 nucleotides long. Lineage: Eukaryota; Fungi; Ascomycota; Dothideomycetes; Botryosphaeriales; Phyllostictaceae. The record is from the annotation of a GenBank genome assembly.